AAUUUUUCGCUUUUGGAGUUGACACACUAGUGGUUGAAGAUUCUUCUUCUUGCUGAACCAGAUUUGGGUUAAAAUCAUGCCAAUAACCCUCAUGAAUCAAAUUGUUCAUGUUAACCUCAAGUAUAUUGUUAUCAAAAGUUUCAAUUGCAUCAACACCAUUACUAUCAACGCUAGGCAACAGCUUACCUUGGUUAACCCACGGCACAUCUACAUAAUGAGGAUCCAUUCCUUCAUACUUCAAAUGAGCCUCAAUCACUUGUGGUUCAUGCCAAUACUGUUUUAACAUUUAUGACAAGGGCAUUUUAGUUUUCCCUCAAAUUAAGCUUGACCCAUAGCGGUGCUAAUGAAUGCACACAGUCCCUUAAGAUAGUCAUCUCCUAGUUUAUGCAAAGCACCUAAUCCUUGUUCACCUCUAAACAUGAGUCCCAAACAAGAUAAAACAGAAGAAAAAAAAAACAUAUUACAUCUAUAAUAAAGAAAAUGACACUGCGAAAUAUCAACACAAAAAAAUGGAUAAAAGUUCA
RNAcentral lists this long non-coding RNA (524 nucleotides) under Prunus persica (peach). RNAcentral's name for it is "long non-coding RNA (PPER_LNC001099)". Lineage: Eukaryota; Viridiplantae; Streptophyta; Magnoliopsida; Rosales; Rosaceae. The record is from RNAcentral.